RNAcentral lists this ribosomal RNA (253 nucleotides) under uncultured bacterium. RNAcentral's name for it is "partial 16S ribosomal RNA". It matches the Rfam family "Bacterial small subunit ribosomal RNA", at positions 524 to 776 of the family's 1533-position model. The record is from RNAcentral.
UACGUAGGGGGCAAGCGUUGUCCGGAUUUAUUGGGCGUAAAGAGCGUGUAGGCGGCCUGACAGGUCUGCUGUGAAAACUCGAGGCUCAACCUCGAGAUGUCGGCGGAAACCGUCUGGCUAGAGUCCGGAAGAGGAGAGUGGAAUUCCUGGUGUAGCGGUGAAAUGCGCAGAUAUCAGGAAGAACACCUACGGCGAAGGCAGCUCUCUGGGACGGUACUGACGCUGAGACGCGAAAGCGUGGGGAGCGAACAGG